GCACAAGCAGCGGAGCGUGUGGUUUAAUUCGAGGCUACACGAAGAACCUUACCAGGGUUUGACAUGUCACGUGGUAGGAAUCCGAAAGGUGACCGACCCUUCGGGGAGCGUGCACAGGGUGUUGCAUGGCUGUCGUCAGCUCGUGCCGUGAGGUGUUAGGUUAAGUCCUGUAACGAGCGCAACCCCUGCCGUUAGUUACAUGUGUCUAACGGGGACUGCCCGGCUCAACUGGGAGGAAGGUGGGACGACGUCAAGUCAGCAUGGCCUUUAUAUCCUGGGCUACACACACGCUACAAUGGUCGGUACAAUGGGUAGCCAAGCCGCGAGGCGGAGCCAAUCCUGAAAGCAGGCCUCAGUUCAGAUUGCAGUCUGCAACUCGACUGCAUGAAGCCGGAGUUGCUAGUAACCGCAGGUCAGCAAUACUGCGGUGAAUACGUUCCCGGGUCUU
This 448-nucleotide ribosomal RNA is filed under the name uncultured Anaerolineaceae bacterium. RNAcentral describes it as "bacterial SSU rRNA". It matches the Rfam family "Bacterial small subunit ribosomal RNA", at positions 923 to 1382 of the family's 1533-position model. The record is from RNAcentral. Lineage: Bacteria; Bacillati; Chloroflexota; Anaerolineae; Anaerolineales; Anaerolineaceae.